CAGUAGCCGCGGUAAUACGUAGGUGGCAAGCGUUGUCCGGAAUUAUUGGGCGUAAAGGGCUCGCAGGCGGUUUCUUAAGUCUGAUGUGAAAGCCCCCGGCUCAACCGGGGAGGGUCAUUGGAAACUGGGAAACUUGAGUGCAGAAGAGGAGAGUGGAACUCCACGUGUAGCGGUGAAAUGCGUAGAGAUGUGGAGGAACACCAGUGGCGAAGGCGACUCUCUGGUCUGUAACUGACGCUGAGGAGCGAAAGCGUGGGGAGCGAACAGGAUUAGAUACCCGCGUAGUCCCUGUCUCUUAUAC
This 301-nucleotide ribosomal RNA is filed under the name uncultured bacterium. RNAcentral's name for it is "partial 16S ribosomal RNA". It matches the Rfam family "Bacterial small subunit ribosomal RNA", at positions 509 to 807 of the family's 1533-position model. The record is from RNAcentral.